GUUGUAUGGUUAAGUGACUAAGCGUACACGGUGGAUGCCUUGGCAGUCAGAGGCGAUGAAAGACGUAGUAACUUGCGAUAAGCCCAGAUUAGGUAGUAACAACCAUUUGAGUCUGGGAUUUCUGAAUGGGGAAACCCACGUGCAUAAGCACGUAUCCUUACCUGAAUACAUAGGGUAAGGAGGCGAACCGGGGGAACUGAAACAUCUAAGUACCCCGAGGAAAAGAAAUCAACCGAGAUUCCGAAAGUAGCGGCGAGCGAAAUUGGACUAGCCCUUAAGCUUUACACGCGUUAGACGAACGGUCUGGAAAGUCCGACGAUACAGGGUGAUAGUCCCGUAGUUGACGAUGUGUGUUCAGUGAAAUCGAGUAGGGCGGGACACGUGAUAUCCUGUCUGAAUAUGGGGGGACCAUCCUCCAAGGCUAAAUACUACUGACUGACCGAUAGUGAACCAGUACCGUGAGGGAAAGGCGAAAAGAACCCCUGUGAGGGGAGUGAAAUAGAACCUGAAACCGUGUACGUACAAGCAGUAGGAGCAGGCUUGUCCUGUGACUGCGUACCUUUUGUAUAAUGGGUCAGCGACUUAUAUUCAGUGGCAAGGUUAACCAUCUAGGGGAGCCGUAGGGAAACCGAGUCUUAACUGGGCGUUCAGUCUCUGGAUAUAGACCCGAAACCAGGUGAUCUAGCCAUGGGCAGGUUGAAGGUUGAGUAACAUCAACUGGAGGACCGAACCGACUAAUGUUGAAAAAUUAGCGGAUGACUUGUGGCUAGGGGUGAAAGGCCAAUCAAACCUGGAGAUAGCUGGUUCUCCCCGAAAGCUAUUUAGGUAGCGCCUCGGACGAAUACUACUGGGGGUAGAGCACUGUUAAGGCUAGGGGGUCAUCCCGACUUACCAACCCUUUGCAAACUCCGAAUACCAGUAAGUACUAUCCGGGAGACACACGGCGGGUGCUAACGUCCGUCGUGGAGAGGGAAACAACCCAGACCGCCAGCUAAGGUCCCAAAUUACUACUAAGUGGGAAACGAUGUGGGAAGGCUCAGACAGCCAGGAUGUUGGCUUAGAAGCAGCCAUCAUUUAAAGAAAGCGUAAUAGCUCACUGGUCGAGUCGGCCUGCGCGGAAGAUGUAACGGGGCUAAGUAGUAAACCGAAGCUGCGGCAAUAUACUUUUGUAUAUUGGGUAGGGGAGCGUUCUGUAAGCGGUUGAAGGUGUGUGGUAACGCAUGCUGGACGUAUCAGAAGUGCGAAUGCUGACAUGAGUAACGAUAAAGGGGGUGAAAAACCUCCUCGCCGGAAGACCAAGGGUUCCUGUCCAACGUUAAUCGGGGCAGGGUAAGUCGACCCCUAAGGCGAGGCCGAAAGGCGUAGUCGAUGGGAAACGGGUUAAUAUUCCCGUACUUCUUACAAUUGCGAUGGGGGGACGGAGAAGGCUAGGUGGGCCUGGCGACGGUUGUCCAGGUUCAAGUGCGUAGGCUGAGAGAUUAGGUAAAUCCGGUUUCUCUUAAGGCUGAGACACGACGUCGAGCACCUACGGGUGUGAAGUCAUUGAUGCCAUGCUUCCAGGAAAAGCCUCUAAGCUUCAGAUUGUAAGGAAUCGUACCCCAAACCGACACAGGUGGUCGGGUAGAGAAUACCAAGGCGCUUGAGAGAACUCGGGUGAAGGAACUAGGCAAAAUGGUACCGUAACUUCGGGAGAAGGUACGCUCUUGAUGGUGAAGUCCCUCGCGGAUGGAGCUGACGAGAGUCGCAGAUACCAGGUGGCUGCAACUGUUUAUUAAAAACACAGCACUGUGCAAAAUCGUAAGAUGACGUAUACGGUGUGACGCCUGCCCGGUGCCGGAAGGUUAAUUGAUGGGGUUAGACUUCGGUCGAAGCUCUUGAUCGAAGCCCCGGUAAACGGCGGCCGUAACUAUAACGGUCCUAAGGUAGCGAAAUUCCUUGUCGGGUAAGUUCCGACCUGCACGAAUGGCGUAAUGAUGGCCACGCUGUCUCCACCCGAGACUCAGUGAAAUUGAAAUCGCUGUGAAGAUGCAGUGUACCCGCGGCUAGACGGAAAGACCCCGUGAACCUUUACUACAGCUUGGCACUGAACAUUGACCCUACAUGUGUAGGAUAGGUGGGAGGCUUUGAAGCACGUACGCCAGUAUGUGUGGAGCCGUCCUUGAAAUACCACCCUUGUAGUGUUGAUGUUCUAACGUCGACCCCUAAUCGGGGUUGCGGACAGUGCCUGGUGGGUAGUUUGACUGGGGCGGUCUCCUCCCAAAGAGUAACGGAGGAGCACGAAGGUGGGCUAAUCACGGUUGGACAUCGUGAGGUUAGUGCAAUGGCAUAAGCCCGCUUGACUGCGAGAAUGACAAUUCGAGCAGGUGCGAAAGCAGGUCAUAGUGAUCCGGUGGUUCUGAAUGGAAGGGCCAUCGCUCAACGGAUAAAAGGUACUCCGGGGAUAACAGGCUGAUACCGCCCAAGAGUUCAUAUCGACGGCGGUGUUUGGCACCUCGAUGUCGGCUCAUCACAUCCUGGGGCUGAAGUCGGUCCCAAGGGUAUGGCUGUUCGCCAUUUAAAGUGGUACGCGAGCUGGGUUUAGAACGUCGUGAGACAGUUCGGUCCCUAUCUGCCGUGGGCGUUGGAAGAUUGAAGGGGGCUGCUCCUAGUACGAGAGGACCGGAGUGGACGAACCUCUGGUGUUCGGGUUGUGUCGCCAGACGCAUUGCCCGGUAGCUAAGUUCGGAAUCGAUAACCGCUGAAAGCAUCUAAGCGGGAAGCGAGCCCUGAGAUGAGUCUUCCCUGAUACUUUAAGUAUCCUAAAGGGUUGUCGGAGACUACGACGUUGAUAGGUCAGGUGUGUAAGUGCUGUGAGGCAUUGAGCUAACUGAUACUAAUUGCCCGUGAGGCUUAACCAUACAACACCCAAGGGGUUU
RNAcentral lists this ribosomal RNA (2915 nucleotides) under Vibrio parahaemolyticus. Its description in RNAcentral is "bacterial LSU rRNA". It matches the Rfam family "Bacterial large subunit ribosomal RNA". Lineage: Bacteria; Pseudomonadati; Pseudomonadota; Gammaproteobacteria; Vibrionales; Vibrionaceae. The record is from RNAcentral.